Long non-coding RNA from Heterocephalus glaber (naked mole-rat), 395 nucleotides. The record is from Ensembl. NCBI's taxonomy places the organism in Eukaryota, Metazoa, Chordata, Mammalia, Rodentia, Bathyergidae.
CACCGAAUCACCCCGCUGCAGACAGGCACCCACCUGGUUCCACACUACAAAGAUGCAGAGGACACCAGAACACCAGACCAAGGAAAUCUCUGGGAGGAGCAGAGCUGCCCCCAGUGCAGAGGACGUGAAAAUUCUGAGCUGCCAUACCACUGCCCCCAGUGUCAAGGAGCAGAGCCACCCCCAGUGCAGAGGAGGUGAGCUGUGUGGAUGCCAGCAGCAUACACCCCCAGCUUAAAUGAGAAGACACUUAAAGAAGUCUCAAAACCAGACUCCCAGAUCACCUAAAGUAACCCCAAAGGGAAAUGAGAUGGAACACUGUCAUACUCAACCACCUGGACUUGCCAAACUAACAUUGAAAGAGGAUCAGAAAAAAUGAAAUCAGAAAUCAUUUCUCA